UGUGUAUAUCCCGCACACGAUGCCGCAUACGCGUCUGGAUGCGAGUGAGGAUUUUAAGGGGAAGAGUUCGCGGGGGCUUUACGGCGAUGUGAUUGAGGAGAUCGAUUUCAAUGUGGGGAGGAUUCUUGAUGCGAUCGUGGAAAUGGGCCUGGAAGAAAAUACCUACGUUCUCUUCACGAGCGAUAACGGGCCCUGGUUGAUUAAGAACAAGGAGCAUGCCGACGGUCAUUUGCCGGAGGAUCACGGAGGGUCAGCGGGGCCGUUGCGCAGCGGGAAGGUUUCGACUUUCGAGGGAGGGCAGCGGGUGCCGACGAUUCUGUGGGGGCCGGGACGGGUGCCGGCGGGGACGGU
This 351-nucleotide ribosomal RNA is filed under the name uncultured eukaryote. RNAcentral's name for it is "partial small subunit ribosomal RNA". The record is from RNAcentral.